Molecule: ribosomal RNA, 450 nt
Filed under: uncultured bacterium
Lineage: Bacteria
Description: partial 16S ribosomal RNA
Rfam family: Bacterial small subunit ribosomal RNA
Source: RNAcentral
GUGGGGAAUAUUCCGCAAUGGACGAAAGUCUGACGGAGCAACGCCGCGUGAGUGAUGAAGGUUUUCGGACUGUAAAGCUCUGUUGUUUAGGACGAAAGUGCCUGUUGCAAAUAGUUACAGGUAUUGACGGUACUGAACGAGGAAGCCACGGCUAACUACGUGCCAGCAGCCGCGGUAAUACGUAGGUGGCAAGCGUUGUCCGGAAUUAUUGGGCGUAAAGAGCAUGUAGGCGGGAAUCUAAGUCUGUUGUGAAAAUGCGGGGCUCAACCCCGUAUUGCGAUGGAAACUGAAUUUCUUGAGUGCAGGAGAGGAAAGGGGAAUUCCCAGUGUAGCGGUGAAAUGCGUAGAUAUUGGGAGGAACACCAGUGGCGAAGGCGCCUUUCUGGACUGUGUCUGACGCUGAGAUGCGAAAGCCAGGGUAGCGAACGGGAUUAGAUACCCUGGUAGUCC